Molecule: long non-coding RNA, 1902 nt
Organism: Oreochromis aureus
Lineage: Eukaryota; Metazoa; Chordata; Actinopteri; Cichliformes; Cichlidae
Exons: 2
Source: RefSeq, a predicted model, not a curated record
AGCAGAGGGAGCACUCUUCUAAGCUCAGGGGUUAGACUGCUGCUGACUGGCAAGCAGUCAAGUGCUGAGGCAUAGAUAUGUGAGCACCUUGGCGCUGCAUUCAAUGGCUUUAGUGCCACAUCAUACACGGCUAGGAAAUGGAUGAAAAGCAAACUCACAAAGAAGUCAGGCCAGUUGAUCCUCUACACGAACAGGGCGCUGACUGCAUGACAAAAAGGUCCUGCUAAAAUGGAGCUUUAAACCCCAACACACAUUUGAUCCCACGCAGGAAGUUGGGUAUGUUGCUGGGAGCAGACACCUGCAAGGGUAGACAGACUCCAGGAGAGCUGAGUCUGAUUAUCUGGCGACAGGGAGGGCCCGGGGAGGAGAGGCGAGCAGGAGCAGCAAGAGGAGGCGGCGGAGGAGAGGGGUGCUAUGUUCCCAACUGUUGCAUCCCAACCUUAAACUGGAACCGCCCAGAGAAAAGGAAAUGCAACAAACCACCCCUGCAACCCCUGCGACAGCGCGAGCAAGCGCGCUCGCGAACAAGGAGCCGCUUCUGGUGAAUCCUUUCAAAGUAAAAGACACUUUAAUGGCAAACCCGUGACAGCGUAAAAGUUAUAAUGGAUGAAUCAGUGAAUUAAAAAAAACUGUAUGAAGAUUCAAUUUUAUGCAGCCUAAAUCUGGUAUAUGUAUUGCAUAUGUAACAUUUUUAUUUUUUUAACUUUCAACUUUUUGAUGCAACUCACGCUGCAUGUGUGUAUUUUACAUAAAUUAAUAUUCUGUAAAUUGGGGGGGAACAUAAGGUGGAGGGCAAAGACUCCAACCGGCCCCCUGGAAGACUUUGGAAAAUGUGAUAGAUUUUGAACUGCUAGCUGAUUGUCGUGGGUUUUGCAGCUUUUCUUAUCGAUAAAGACUCCACCUUAUUUGCCAUUGAUAUCAUAUUAACGUAGUUAUGUAAUAGAUCAACAAUUGAAUAACAGAAAAGCUCCUGUUUUUCUACUAGCUACUACAGAAAUUUCAGUUUUUUAUUAUGAUGGGUCCACAUUAAAAACAAUCUGUUAAAUAUGUGAAUUAACAAAAACAUUGUUUUUAUAAAUACAGGACUGUCUGUAUUUAUCAUGUAAAGAAACUGAGAUGUACUGUUACUGGACUUCUUUUAUUACAUUAUGACAUCUCAGGGAUAAAAUGUUUAGGUAAAUGUCUUUACACUGACUGAAACGGCAAUUUAAGAUCAAAGUAGGCCCACAAUAUAAAGUGAGUCUGAAAUCCCAGCUACAGUUCAACCAGCUUCAUUUCUAUAAAAUUCCAGAUGCAGCCAAAAUAUAUUGUCAUGCAACACAUGUCAUGUGAAUUAAUAUAUACAAAUGGGAGGAACUAGGUGUUUGUAUGGUUUCACCUCACUUGUCCCUUCAGUGCAAAACAAGUCAUUGAGUAAUGACCCACCUAUAUCGUUUUAAAGAAAUUUUAAAUCCCAGAUUAUAGUUUGUCUCUAAAUGGUUUUCAUUUCAUUAAAUUAAACAAAUCCAUCUGGGGGAAAAGGAAAAGUCUCAUUCCUCUAGAAAUUUCGAUCCAGUUACCAAAGUCUUAACCUUCACACUGCAAACAGCACACCUGGAUGAGGGGACUGAAUGCCCAUAUUUCUAUAUAGACUUCCCCACUUUAUAGAAGGGGAGAAAAUACUUAGUGGGAAAUGAAGGCAAAUUAUUUUCAUUCAGGAUUUCAUGUGUUUUACACAGCACCACUCAAGUCAAAUGUUUGUGCCCAAACACUGAACUUUUUAUUGUGAAGGAGUAACACCUCUGACUUCCCUUUUCUUGGUUUUACCAGUGCUUUGCUUCACAUUUAAUUUGGGGCCAUGUUUGACUCCCCCUAUCUUAAAUUGCUGCAAGUCACACCUAUUUAAAAAAAAAAAAAAAAAAA